Molecule: long non-coding RNA, 1177 nt
Organism: Cervus elaphus (red deer)
Lineage: Eukaryota; Metazoa; Chordata; Mammalia; Artiodactyla; Cervidae
Exons: 3
Source: RefSeq, a predicted model, not a curated record
CCCCUGCUCUUUGCAGGACCUCCCUGACCACCCUUCCCCUGAGGCUGGCCCCUAUGUGCCCUGUUUGCUCUCCUUGACAUAUAAACUCAAGUUUGCAGACAAGACAAGCUGGUUCUGUGUGCUGUUCUGUGGGAAGCCAGAACUCACCUGCUUGUAGGCCCCACACUGACCUGCAGUGCCUUCGGAUCCUCAGAGGUGGCCUUCACUAACUUGUUCCUCCCACCGUGGCAAGGACUGGACUGGGUCUGAUUGCAACAAGGAGACUGGGCUGUGGAGCCAGGAUGGACAAAGGAGCAGAGAGCUCCACAGUUUGCAGUGAGAAAGUGAGUAAGCCAGAUCAGUCCUGCUGGUGAAGGCAAGCCCUGCCCGCUCUGAGGAAGCCCACGCCGUCUUCCGGGAUCUCUAAGCCUUGCUCUGGGAACUUCUGAGGAUCAGUGAGAGUCAGGUGUUGCCCAUGUAGGGCUAGGCUGGACCCAGUCCUCCCUCACUUCCAUCUGGUCCUCAUGCCUGCUGAGCGCUCUUCCUGGCAGCAGGGUUGAGAGUACUGGAGCAGUGGGAUCUCCUCGUAUCCUCAUCGUGUCCAUAGGCUCAUGUCUAGGCGGAGCUGGGCCAAGCCACAAGUUUCCUCAAGGAAGGUGGAGAAGACUGCUCCAAUACAAUUAUCAGAAUGUGCUCGCCUAGCUGGCAGUGCUGAGAUCGGGGCGGCCCAUUUCUGCCUGGAUGCCUGCUGGGAGGAGUUGGCAUGGCAACAUGAGCUCUGAGCUGCUGAAACUUGGAGUCAGCUCGUGGCUGGGAGGACACAAAGAACAACGGAAGAGGAUGCCUUUCUGAGUGAAGCAGGUCAGACAAAUCCGGGCUAAUCCCUGCAAGCCAAGUCCCAGAAGCAGACCUGGGGACUGGGGUCCAGUGUCCACACAUGUGCUUAGCAACGCCUUCUGCCGACACAGCGGUGCCAGGACGGGACUGGAGCAGGCAGUUGUGACUACUGGAGAGACCACGUGCGAACAGCCGAGCGUCUGGAUGGGCCUGGGCUCUGAGCCUUCUGGGUGCUGAGGUCUACACCUGAGCCUCACCUGGCAAGUGGCCAGAAGCUGGGGAUCCUGGAAUUCCCCAGCAGGUCACGUCACCUGCCUCAGGUGAGCCCUGGGGUAUCUGCUGCGUGACUGACUGAGUACCA